CAAUAGCGUAUAUUAAAGUUGUUGCGGCUAAAAAGCUCGUAGUUGGAUUUCUGCUGAGAACGACCGGUCCGCCCUCUGGGUGUGUAUCUGGCUCUUUCUUGGCAUCUUCUUGGUGAACGUUGCUGCACUUGACUGUGUGGAGCGCUACCCAGGACUUUUACUUUGAGGAAAUUAGAGUGUUUCAAGCAGGCAUACGCCUUGAAUACAUUAGCAUGGAAUAAUAAGAUAGGACCUCGGUUCUAUUUUGUUGGUUUCUAGAGCUGAGGUAAUGAUUAAUAGGGAUAGUUGGGGGCAUUCGUAUUUAACUGUCAGAGGUGAAAUUCUUGGAUUUGUUAAAGACGGACUACUGCGAANGNAUUUGCNAAGGAUGUUUNCAUUG
This 379-nucleotide ribosomal RNA is filed under the name uncultured eukaryote. Its description in RNAcentral is "partial 18S ribosomal RNA". It matches the Rfam family "Eukaryotic small subunit ribosomal RNA", at positions 592 to 975 of the family's 1831-position model. The record is from RNAcentral.